This 734-nucleotide ribosomal RNA is filed under the name uncultured Streptococcaceae bacterium. Its description in RNAcentral is "bacterial SSU rRNA". It matches the Rfam family "Bacterial small subunit ribosomal RNA", at positions 60 to 777 of the family's 1533-position model. The record is from RNAcentral. Lineage: Bacteria; Bacillati; Bacillota; Bacilli; Lactobacillales; Streptococcaceae.
AGUAGAACGCUGAAGAGAGGAGCUUGCUCUUCUUGGAUGAGUUGCGAACGGGUGAGUAACGCGUAGGUAACCUGCCUUGUAGCGGGGGAUAACUAUUGGAAACGAUAGCUAAUACCGCAUAACAAUGGAUGACACAUGUCAUUUAUUUGAAAGGGGCAAUUGCUCCACUACAAGAUGGACCUGCGUUGUAUUAGCUAGUAGGUGAGGUAACGGCUCACCUAGGCGACGAUACAUAGCCGACCUGAGAGGGUGAUCGGCUACACUGGGACUGAGACACGGCCCAGACUCCUACGGGAGGCAGCAGUAGGGAAUCUUCGGCAAUGGGGGCAACCCUGACCGAGCAACGCCGCGUGAGUGAAGAAGGUUUUCGGAUCGUAAAGCUCUGUUGUAAGUCAAGAACGAGUGUGAGAGUGGAAAGUUCACACUGUGACGGUAGCUUACCAGAAAGGGACGGCUAACUACGUGCCAGCAGCCGCGGUAAUACGUAGGUCCCGAGCGUUGUCCGGAUUUAUUGGGCGUAAAGCGAGCGCAGGCGGUUUGAUAAGUCUGAAGUUAAAGGCUGUGGCUCAACCAUAGUUCGCUUUGGAAACUGUCAAACUUGAGUGCAGAAGGGGAGAGUGGAAUUCCAUGUGUAGCGGUGAAAUGCGUAGAUAUAUGGAGGAACACCGGUGGCGAAAGCGGCUCUCUGGUCUGUAACUGACGCUGAGGCUCGAAAGCGUGGGGAGCGAACAGGA